RNAcentral lists this ribosomal RNA (422 nucleotides) under uncultured bacterium. RNAcentral describes it as "bacterial SSU rRNA". It matches the Rfam family "Bacterial small subunit ribosomal RNA", at positions 64 to 479 of the family's 1533-position model. The record is from RNAcentral.
GAGCGGCAGCACGGGUACUUGUACCUGGUGGCGAGCGGCGGACGGGUGAGUAAUGCCUAGGAAUCUGCCUGGUAGUGGGGGAUAACGCUCGGAAACGGACGCUAAUACCGCAUACGUCCUACGGGAGAAAGCAGGGGACCUUCGGGCCUUGCGCUAUCAGAUGAGCCUAGGUCGGAUUAGCUAGUUGGUGAGGUAAUGGCUCACCAAGGCGACGAUCCGUAACUGGUCUGAGAGGAUGAUCAGUCACACUGGAACUGAGACACGGUCCAGACUCCUACGGGAGGCAGCAGUGGGGAAUAUUGGACAAUGGGCGAAAGCCUGAUCCAGCCAUGCCGCGUGUGUGAAGAAGGUCUUCGGAUUGUAAAGCACUUUAAGUUGGGAGGAAGGGCAGUUACCUAAUACGUAUCUGUUUUGACGUUACC